This 460-nucleotide ribosomal RNA is filed under the name uncultured bacterium. RNAcentral's name for it is "partial 16S ribosomal RNA". It matches the Rfam family "Bacterial small subunit ribosomal RNA", at positions 338 to 795 of the family's 1533-position model. The record is from RNAcentral.
CCUACGGGUGGCUGCAGUGAGGAAUAUUGGUCAAUGGGAGGAAUCCUGAACCAGCCAUGCCGCGUGCAGGACGACGGCUCUACGAGUUGUAAACUGCUUUUGUACCGGGGUAAAAUGCCUUACGUGUAGGGUUUUGAAAGUACGGUACGAAUAAGGAUCGGCUAACUCCGUGCCAGCAGCCGCGGUAAUACGGAGGAUCCGAGCGUUAUCCGGCUUUAUUGGGUUUAAAGGGUGCGUAGGUUGUUUUAUAAGUUAGCUGUGAAAGACCGAUGCUCAACAUCGGGGCUGCAGCUAAUACUGUAGGACUAGAGAUCGGAUGCAGCAGGCGGAAUGUGUAGUGUAGCGGUGAAAUGCAUAGAGAUUACACAGAACACCGAGUGCGAAGGCAGCUGGCUAGGCCGGAUCUGACACUGAUGCACGAAAGCGUGGGGAUCGAACAGGAUUAGAUACCCGAGUAGUC